Molecule: RNA transcript, 5621 nt
Organism: Leucoraja erinaceus (little skate)
Lineage: Eukaryota; Metazoa; Chordata; Chondrichthyes; Rajiformes; Rajidae
Gene: mlh3
Gene name: mutL homolog 3 (E. coli)
Exons: 13
Source: RefSeq, a predicted model, not a curated record
GACUGCGUUGCUGCAGUAACGGGGCCUGCAGGGCGAGGCGAGGCGCUGCGAUGGGCGAGGAGCGACGGCCGGUCGCGCUGCACUCCUUGCCGGGUGGCGUGCGGGCCUUGCUGCGCUCCGCCGUGACGGUGCCGACGCUCGGCCGCUGCCUGGAGGAGCUGCUGCUCAACAGCCUGGCGGCCGGCUGCGGCUGUGCUGCGGCGCGCGUGCACGCGCAGGUCGGGCGCGUGCAGGUGGCGGACAACGGCGCGGGGCUGGAGCGCGCGGCCGCGGAGCUGGCGGGAGCGCGCUACCACAGCGGGCGCGCGGCCCGGCCUGAGGCGGGGCCCGGCCACACACAGGGCCCUGGAGUAGGGCCCGGGGCCUGGGCGGAGGCGGAGCCUGCUGUAGGACCCGGGGCCGGGCAGGAGAGGGGGCCCGCGGUGGCUCCAGGGCUCUGGGGUGGCGAGGGCGCUGGGGCCUGGGCUGGAGAGUGUGCUGGGCCUGGUGGUCGAGAGAGCAGUGGGUCCUGGGCUGAGGCUGACGUGGGCCCGGGUUGCCGUGGCGAGGCCCUGGCCAGCAUUGCUGACCUAUCGUCCGUGCUGGAGAUAGUGAGCAGGCCCAAGGGUGGGGGCAGCCAGACCUGGGUCAAGCUGUUCCGGGACGGUCAGGCACGGCCAGUGUACGAGGCAGAGACUCCUCGGCCCAGCCCCGGCACCACUGUCACGGUGUGCGGCCUGUUCCACCGCUUGCCGGUGAGGAGCCGCCGCAUGGGGCAGGGCCUGGAGUGGGAGCAGAUCCGCCACAGGCUCCAGGCCCUCAGCCUCCUGCACCCGAGUGUCUCUUUCACCGUGCGUAACGAGGCCUCUGCCGCUGCCGCCGGCUCCCUGGUGGUACGGCUCCCUAAAGCCAGCAACGUGCCGGCUCGCUUUGCUCAGAUCUACGGGGCGCAAAAAGCGGCAGCUCUGGGCCCUGUCCAGCACUCUAAUGGCCACUUCCACAUGAGGGGCUACAUCUGCCGUGAGGGCCACCAUACCAAGGCCCAGCGCCUGAUCUUCAUCAACGGGCGGCUGGUGCUGAAGACGCGUGUGCACAAGCAGCUGGACCUGCUGAUCCACCGGCACAGUGCAAUCUGCAGGGCAGGCCCAUGCAUUGGCACCCGUGCAGCCUCUGACCUGCACCCUGUCUACAUCAUCAACAUUAGCUGUGGCCAUAGCCAGUACGAUGCGUGCUGGGAGACUGGGCGCACCCUGCUGGAGUUCACCGCGUGGGACCUGCUGCUCAGCUGUCUGGAAGAGGGGGUCCGUGCCUUCCUGUCCAAGCACCAACUACUGCUGGACCCCUCUGAGGAGCAACAAACUAUCCAGCUGCCUACACUCAACCCACAGCCAGUGUUCAUUAAUGAAAGGACAGCAGUGCAGUCCAAGUGUGUGCACAGGCAAGCUGCUGUACCAGACACUUCUCAGGAGGAUGCUGCCACUGUUGAGAAGGAUGGGGCAUUGGAUGUGGAAGGUGAAGAACCUUUGGGCACUGCCCCACACUCUACUGAAGCCCCAAGAUGCCACCGGCACAUUGCUGGUCAGCAGACAAAUGUGUGUGGCGUGUCCCCAUGUGAUAGCCCCCUGGGCAAAGUAAGUGGCUGUGACAGUCCUGAGACCCAGCGGGCAGAGGAGCAGCACAGCACACAGAGCGUGCUGGCACAAGGAGAUGGCAUUCAGCAGCUUGCUGCUGCUUAUGAGAGUGAGACCUCGUCACCGGGAGAGGGGGUGCAGGGAGCAGCAGGGGACACUGGUGGCUCACAGACAGGGCAGGGAGGGGUAUCGGGAAAGCAGGCACACGGGAAGGUUCAGGGAGUUGGAGUGGAACUUUGUGUCACAGGUCUCAUAACCCAUGUCAUCCCCAAGCAGAUGAAAGCGUUUGAGCUUGCAAACACAAGCUCUGUGGACAGUGACCUCUUCCACCCAGGUCCCAUGAGUGCCUGGGAUACUAACGAGAGGUUGAAUAAGGGACAAAGGCAGCUCUCGUCUGGGGGCAGAGCGCUAUGGAGCACCACCAAGAAAAUCCCACCCCAAACACGUGUGAAUAAAGGUCAGGAAAUUCCGAGUAGUUGGCAGUCUCACGAGGUUGCUGAAUCUAUGAUCACACCUGGGAUGGGCUUGGCACCGGAGUCCAGGAGCAGAGAUGCUGCUAGCUGUGUUUAUGCUCAAGCCAGGUUCCACAGAAAGCUGAGCAUGCCUCCAAUUACCGGAUCAUUGGAUGCCUUCAGAAGAGAAUACGCAAAGGGUGGUGGUCAGGACAGAGGCAGCUCCUCCCAAGGCACUGUGCUAUCUCACCGCGAUCCCAACAUGACAUCCCGACUCGUGAAUGUGACAGGAAUCAAAGAGGCAGAAAAUGUGAAGCAGGCUCGGUGCACUGAUAACACCCAGACGGAGAGUUUACUGCACGACCAGCCUGGCUAUGAUGGGUUUCUUACGACUUUGUGUUCUCGUGACAUCAGCUUGACAGCUGAACAUGUACCCAAAGUAUUGCCCAGUAAUAUUGCCCCACCUACUCAUUCACAAACCAAGAACCUUGAACCAAGAACCUUGGCUGCGAAGUUGUCCAGAUUAAAACAUGGCCAAUGUGAGGGAGAGAAGAAUUACGAGCCCACUGUUGGGAGUUUGGCAGACUGUUCUCCUCUGUGCCGGAGCUCCUGGAGGCUGCUGCAACUGGGAGAGGAAUCAGCAACAUGUUCACCUCCAGAACCAAUCCCCUCAGCAGCAACAGAGUCUGAAAAAGGUGUCGGAAGAGAGGAGUGUCAGGAAAGCUGCACUGAAAGAGAAAGCACCCUUGCUGUGAUUCACAGAGAGCCUUGUCCAGGGACAUUGUCUGGUGCUGUAACUGAAGUUGGGACCAGUACACAGACUCAGCUGCACAUUGAUGACCAGGCCCACAGUGAUGGAGCUGUUGAAGCGAACAAGGUUGGAGACUUGGUGAUGAGGCGGGAGGAAUCUGACGCCACAUGUAUUCACCCAGGAGCGUUACCUGAUGGGGCAGAGGUUUGUGUGGAGACCUGUGAAGGUGAUGCUUGGGAAGGUUUAGCUUCAGAAUGGCUGCAGUACUUUGAUGGGUCUGUGGGGAAGACAAUGUAUGUGAACAAUGCGACUGGAGUGAGUUGUUACGACCUUCCAACAGAGCCCCAGACUCGAGCCGCUUGCACUAAAGACUUCACAACCAUGGCAGUGAAUGUCCUCACAAAGACUGGCUGCCCCUACAGGUGCUACCCAUUCCGCAGUCAGGUCUUGCUCCCCUUCCUGCCGCGGCCACGCGACGAGAGGCAUGGAGCCAGUGAUGGGAGAGAUGCUGUGUUGGGAUCGAGUGACUCGCUGCGUUCCAUGUUUCUGGAGUGGAAGAACCCUGUCUUUCUGCGGGCCCCAGAGGUUGCUGUUGAUGUCGGGAGUGUGCAUAUGGACAGUUUAGCAGUGAAGAUCCACAACAUCUUGUAUCCCUACCGCUUUACAAAGGACAUGAUCAGAUCAAUGCAGGUCCUUAAUCAGGUGGACAACAAGUUCAUUGCCUGCUUGAUAAACACCAGACUGGACAAAGGGACUGUAGGCAGUAACUUGCUGGUAUUGGUGGAUCAGCACGCUGCUCACGAGAGGGUGCGUCUGGAACAACUCAUCUCAGACUGCUACGAGUUGGUGCCGGGUCAGUGUGGCCGCAAGAGGCUGACCACAUCGACCGUCUGUCCACCCAUGGAGAUCCCCUGCACUCCGGACGAGGCCAGGCUGCUACGGCUACACCUGGAUCAGUUGGAGGUUGCUGGCGUGGAGCUGGAGUUGGGAGAGGCUGAGGAUGCGGGCGUAUUUGUGAAGAGGGUGCCGGCCUGCUUCGUGCAGAGAGAAGCAACUGAGGCUCGAAGAGGACGACAACCCGUCACUCAAACCAUAGUACAGGAGUUCCUCAGAGAACAGAUUGAGGUGCUCCAGACCAGGGGAGGUGCCCCCGCCGUGCUGUCACGGACCAUGCUGAAGGUGCUCGCCUCACAGGCCUGUCACGGGGCGGUGAAGUUUGGCCACGGUCUGAGUGUGGACGAGUGCAGAAGCCUGAUGGGUUCUCUGGCCAGCUGUCACCUGCCCUUCCAGUGUGCACAUGGCCGGCCCUCCAUCCUCCCUCUGGCAGACCUGGAUCACCUGAAUCACCUGGACAUCAACCACCAGGUUGAACACAGACCUAACUUACAGAAGCUGUGGACAGCGUGGACACUGUGGACGGGCUGUAAAGCUGUUCAAUGAUUGCACGAAGCUGAGAAACCUGGAGCUGUGCUGUACCAGCCUGCUGCUUUGGUAUGAAAUGGGCAAAGGCCCAGUGUACCACCCUGAGGCUGCACGGGUAUCUUGACCUCUUGGCCACCAUGAUCUUUCAACGUGUGAUACUGGAGACGACACCACCAUUGUGGGCCGGAUAUCAAAUAAUGAUGAGACAGAGUACAGGAAGGAGAUCGAGAACCUCGUGACCUGGUAUUGACUGAACAACCUGUCUCUCAAUGUCAGCAAGAUAAAAGAGACAGUGAUGGACUUCAGGAAGCAAAGUGGUUCACAUAUUCCAGUUUACAUUGAUGACACUGAAGCAGAGAUAGUUUAAAACUUCAGAUUCCUCGAAGCCAAUAUCACCAACAACUUCUGGACCACCCAUAUUGAAGCAACGAUCAAGAAAGCACACCAACGCCUCUACUUCCUUAGAACGCUUAGGAAGUUUGGCAUGUCCCCUACAACUCUCACCAACUUCUACAGAUGCGCCAUAGUAAGCAUUUUAUCGGUAUGCAUCACAGCUUGGUUUGGGAACAGCUCCAUCCAGAACUGCAAGAAAUCGCAGAGAACUGUGGAUGCAGCCCAGAUCAUCAUACAACACAACCUCCCUUCCAUUGACUCCAUCUACACUUCACACUGCCUCGGCAAGGCCAGCAGCUUAAUCAAGGAUGAGUGGGCGGCGCGACUCACGUCGCAGCGUCCUCUGCAGUCCGUCUGUCUUUUUAUUAUUUUCUGUCUCGUUUUUAAUGUCGUUUUUAUUUUAUUUGUUUUGACGGGGUGUGUUUGUGGGGGGCGGGGAAACUUUAAAAUCUUUCCUCUGCACGGGAGACCAGACCUUUUCUUUGUCGGGUCUCCGUUGUCGUUGGGGCUGCAACGUGGAGCGGCCUCCAGCAGGAAGAACCUGGGGCUCCAGUCGCGGAGCUGCAGACUUACAUACCAUCACGAAGCUGGCUGAGUCCGGAGCGGGUGGUGCGGUGGUGGCGCGCUGCUGUGACCCGACCCCCGGAGAUUCGGAGGCUCCAACCGCAGGUCUGGCAGACAGGAACACCGGGAGCCCCGCGGGUCCCUGCUGGGAGACUGCUUUUCGGGGCUUCCGCAACGGCGACUUCACUCGCCCGAGUUACGGGGUUGAAGAUUACCUAGAGCAGGGCCUUACAUCACCGCCCUGCGCGGCUUGGAAUGGCUGCGGGACUUUGCUAGCGCCCGCCGGGGGCUCCAACAACAAGACCCGGAGCGUGGCCUUGCAUCACCCGGCGUGGCUUUAAUGGCCGCGGGACAAUUACCAUCGCCCGCCGGGGGCUUUGACUCUGACAUCGGGGGGGAGAGGGGAGUGCAGGGGAGAGAUACGUUUUU